Molecule: ribosomal RNA, 496 nt
Filed under: uncultured bacterium
Lineage: Bacteria
Description: partial 16S ribosomal RNA
Rfam family: Bacterial small subunit ribosomal RNA
Source: RNAcentral
AUGAACGCUGGCGGCGUGCCUAAUACAUGCAAGUCGAGCGAACAGACGAGGAGCUUGCUCCUCUGACGUUAGCGGCGGACGGGUGAGUAACACGUGGAUAACCUACCUAUAAGACUGGGAUAACUUCGGGAAACCGGAGCUAAUACCGGAUAAUAUAUUGAACCGCAUGGUUCAAUAGUGAAAGACGGUUUUGCUGUCACUUAUAGAUGGAUCCGCGCCGCAUUAGCUAGUUGGUAAGGUAACGGCUUACCAAGGCAACGAUGCGUAGCCGACCUGAGAGGGUGAUCGGCCACACUGGAACUGAGAAAAGGUCCAGAAUCCUAAGGGAGGCAGCAGUAGGGAAUCUUCCGCAAAGGGCGAAAGCCUGAAGGAGCAAAGCCGCGUGAGUGAUGAAGGUCUUCGGAUCGUAAAACUCUGUUAUUAGGGAAGAACAAAUGUGUAAGUAACUAUGCACGUCUUGAAGGUACCUAAUCAGAAAGCCACGGCUAACUAAGUG